UGGUCAAACGAUAAGAGCAUAGGGUGGAUGCCUAGGCACUAAGAGCCGAAGAAAGACGUGAUAAGCUGCGAUAAGCGAUGGGGAUCGGCAAAUACGAAAUGAUCCAUCGAUCUCUGAAUGGGGAGACCCACUGGAGGAGACCUCCAGUACCUGUAUGUGAAUACAUAGCAUGCAGGAGGGAACCCGGUGAACUGAAACAUCUAAGUAGCCGGAGGAAGAGAAAGAAAACUCGAUUCCGAAAGUAGCGGCGAGCGAAAUCGGAAGAGCCCAAACCGUGGUGCGAGCACCGCGGGGUAAGGACUGCAUUUAGUUUCCUUGAACGAGUAGAACACUGUGGGAACAGUGACCAGAGAGGGUGAAAGUCCCGUACACGAAGGGAAAGGAAAUGAGCAGUAUCCGGAGUACUGUCAGACACGUGGAACCUGGCAGGAAUAAGGGGGGACCACCCCCCAAGGCUAAAUACUCCUUAGUGACCGAUAGCGAUAAGUACUGUGAAGGAAAGGUGAAAAGGACCCCGGGAGGGGAGUGAAAGAGAACCUGAAACCCUGUGUUUACAAGCUGUGGAACACCGAAAGGUGGACCGCGUACUUUUUGUAGAACGGUCCGGCGAGUUAUAUAUACUGGCAAGGUUAAGGACUUAAGGUCCGGAGCCGAAGCGAGAGCGAGUCUUAAGAGGGCGUAAAGUCAGUAAGUAUAGACCCGAAACCGGGUGACCUAUCCAUGUCCAGGAUGAAGCUAAAGUAAAAUUUGGUGGAGGUCCGAACGCACAUCCGUUGAAAAGGGUGGCGAUGAGGUGUGGAUAGCGGAGAAAUUCCAAUCGAACCCGGAGAUAGCUGGUUCUCCUCGAAAUAGCUUUAGGGCUAGCCUCAUGGAGAGUCUCGGGCAGGUAGAGCACUGAAUUGUUGAGGGGGCGUCAAAGUCUACCAAGACAUAUCAAACUGCGAAUGGCCUUGAGAUAUACAUGGGAGUCAGACUGCGCGAUAUAAAUUGCAUAGUCAAAAGGGAAACAGCCCAGACCUACAGCUAAGGUCCCAAAGUGCGUGUUAAGUGGUAAAGGAUGUGGGAUUUCAUAGACAACUAGGAUGUUGGCUUAGAAGCAGCCACACAUUCAAAGAGUGCGUAAUAGCUCACUAGUCGAGAGGUCCUGCGCCGAAAAUUCACGGGGCUGAAACACGACACCGAAGCUUAGGAAUUGAAAAAUUGGUAGAGGAGCAUUGAUGUAAGGAUGAAGCGGUACCGGAAGGAACCGUGGACAUACAUGAAGAGAGAAUGCCGGAAUGAGUAGCGAGAUGGAGGUGGGAAUCCUCCAGGCCGAAUAUCUAAGGAUUCCAGGGUAAAGCUGAUCUGCCCUGGGUAAGUCGGGACCUAAGGCGAGGCCGAGAGGCGUAGUCGAUGGACAGCUGGUCAAGAUUCCAGCACCUUAUAGUAUCAGAAAUGUGGGGACACAUGGGAAAUGGCAGAGCCGGGAAUGAAGAGACCGGUCCAAACGCAGAAGCUGUGAGACAGGAAAAACCGUCUCAUAAGGCGAGGGCGCGACGGGGAGCGAAA
Molecule: ribosomal RNA, 1548 nt
Filed under: Oribacterium sp. C9
Lineage: Bacteria; Bacillati; Bacillota; Clostridia; Lachnospirales; Lachnospiraceae
Description: Bacterial large subunit ribosomal RNA
Rfam family: Bacterial large subunit ribosomal RNA
Source: Rfam by way of RNAcentral